This 434-nucleotide ribosomal RNA is filed under the name uncultured Lachnospiraceae bacterium. RNAcentral's name for it is "partial 16S ribosomal RNA". It matches the Rfam family "Bacterial small subunit ribosomal RNA", at positions 341 to 792 of the family's 1533-position model. The record is from RNAcentral. Lineage: Bacteria; Bacillati; Bacillota; Clostridia; Lachnospirales; Lachnospiraceae.
ACGGAAGGCAGCAGUGGGGAAUAUUGGACAAUGGGCGAAAGCCUGAUCCAGCGACGCCGCGUGAGUGAAGAAGUAUUUCGGUAUGUAAAGCUCUAUCAGCAGGGAAGAUAAUGACGAUACCUGACUAAGAAGCCCCGGCUAACUACGUGCCAGCAGCCGCGGUAAUACGUAGGGGGCAAGCGUUAUCCGGAUUUACUGGGUGUAAAGGGAGCGUAGACGGUAUGGCAAGUCUGAUGUGAAAACCCAGGGCUCAACCCUGGGACUGCAUUGGAAACUGUCAAACUAGAGUGCAGGAGAGGUAAGUGGAAUUCCUAGUGUAGCGGUGAAAUGCGUAGAUAUUAGGAGGAACACCAGUGGCGAAGGCGGCUUACUGGACUGUAACUGACGUUGAGGCUCGAAAGCGUAGGGAGCAAACAGGAUUAGAUACCCUGGUA